AUUGAACGCUGGCGGCAUGCCUUACACAUGCAAGUCGAACGGCAGCACGGGAGCAAUCCUGGUGGCGAGUGGCGAACGGGUGAGUAAUAUAUCGGAACGUGCCCAGUCGUGGGGAGUAACGUAGCGAAAGCUACGCUAAUACCGCAUACGAUCUAUGGAUGAAAGACGGGGGAGUCGCAAGACCUCGCGCGAUUGGAGCGGCCGAUAUCAGAUUAGGUAGUUGGUGAGGUAAAGGCUCACCAAGCCGACGAUCUGUAGCUGGUCUGAGAGGACGACCAGCCACACUGGGACUGAGACACGGCCCAGACUCCUACGGGAGGCAGCAGUGGGGGAAUUUUGGACAAUGGGCGCAAGCCUGAUCCAGCAAUGCCGCGUGCAGGAUGAAGGCC
This 389-nucleotide ribosomal RNA is filed under the name uncultured bacterium. Its description in RNAcentral is "bacterial SSU rRNA". It matches the Rfam family "Bacterial small subunit ribosomal RNA", at positions 29 to 416 of the family's 1533-position model. The record is from RNAcentral.